CUUGCGCAACAUCUGCCAUCACGCACGCCACCGAGCGCGCACAUACGCACACGGGAGUGUCUCUCUCUCUCCCUUUCUCUUUCUCUCGCGUACUUCCCUCAGUAAAGAAAAGGAAGUAGGACCCGGCUUAUCGCUGGCACGGCACCGUCGAGAAACGAAGUUGGUCCGCGCACGGCGCCACAUCGACGCAUGUAAACACCGAACAACCGUUCACCGUCUUCCUUCGCGCUUUCUCUCGUUGCUGUCCGCCUCGUGUUGCGCGUCGUCGUCUCUGCCGUGAAUCCGUCGCUGCAGCGGGCGCCAGCAUCCGCAUCGAAGCGUGUGUGUGUGUGUGUUCGUGUGCGACGGAGUGCGCCCUUCACCGUUGGCAGGGAGAACCACAGAAAACGAAACACGGCCGAAGGAGACGACGCGCGCACGCGCAGCGCCUAUUACCCGGCUCGUCGCCCAACGGCGCGCGCACGCCAACGCACCCACGACAUCAUCUACCCGAUAGCAGCAAAAUACAGCGAGCAGCAUGAACUCAGCCGGCACCGGCGCACCGAACAAGGCCACUGGUGUGUCGGCUUCCUCGUCAUCCAUGCAGAAGCACAAGCUGGUCCUUCUUGGCGACCAAUCCGUUGGCAAGACGAGCAUUAUCACCCGCUUCAUGUACGACACUUUUGACCAACAGUAUCAGCCAACGAUCGGCAUCGACUUCUUCUCCAAAACAGUUCACCUGGAAGAUGAUCGCGACGUCCGGCUGCACUUGUGGGACACGGCGGGGCAGGAGCGCUUCCACUCGCUGAUCCCCAGCUACAUCCGCAACAGUGCCGCGACCGUGGUGGUUUACGACAUCACUUCCCGUCCCACGUUCUUCAGCGCCUUCAAGUGGAUUGACGAGGUGCGCUCAGAGAGCGGCGAUGAUGUCGUCAUCAUGCUCGUCGGCAACAAGGUCGAUCAAGCCUCGGAGCGGCGUGAGGUGAGCGCCGAGGAGGCAAUGAAGAAGGCGUCCGAGUGCAACGUGCUCUUCAUGGAGGUGAGCGCCAAGCACGGCACAAACAUCAAGCACAUGUUUCGGCAGGUCGCUGCCGCGCUGCCGGCACCGGCUUCCACGGGUGGCGGUGCCGGUGUUAAUGGGGCGACGCCGUCGUCUGCUGGCGGCGUUGGCGCAGCGGGUGCGAGUGGCAGUGGCGCAGCAGCGCCCGGCAUCAGCGCUGGCCAAUUUGGUGGCGUAGUCCGGUCACCAUUCUUGAUCACUCCAUCCGCGAUGCAGGUGGCCUCGAACGGCACCGGGGGCGCUGGCGAGGCGGACGGUGCCAGCUCCAAUGCGCAGGGCGGUCGCGGUGGCGCUUGCUGCUGACGUGCGCGAGUGUGUGUGUGCGUGUGCGCUCCGAUCUCGUUGAAGUGAUUUGACAUCCUCCUUUUUCUCUCUCGCGCGCGCUUUUCUCGUUCUUUGCUCUAUCUUGAUGGCCGGUGUGGUUUGUGCGACAUGGAUGCCGCUGAGCGCGUCUCCGCCGCGCCGCGCGUUUUUUUUUUUCUGCGUGUGUGCCUGCUGCGCUUUCCUGGAAGAGGAAGGCUGUCCGUUGGUGGGGAAGCACACACACACAUACACACACGCACACGCAACCAGAUCUCGUUGGCGUGGCGGGACGUGGCACCGUUGUUUCGCUGGUGCUCGCCUUUCACGCAAAGGAGGGCGAAGCAGGCCAGACCAGACACACACCCGCGUGUCGCUGCUCCUCAUGGGCGACACCCUUGCUCGCUGCCUCUUCUUUUUCCGUUUUUUUUUUGUUGCUGGUGUGUGUGUGUGUAUGGCUGCUGCUCGCCUUGCGCCUGCGGAUGCGCCCGCCCCCCCCCCCCCUCCUGCGCACCCGCAGGCAUGCGCCGGAAAAGGUCGAGACGACAUGCAGAUCAGGACGGGGAGGGAAAAUCGCGGUUGCGGGUGUAAGCGCCGUCAUGAAUAAGCGCGUUUGUUGCUGCGGCGCACCUGUGCGCGUAAAGGUUUCGAUGACGUGCGUGCAAGGCAGUAGCCGACGGUGUGUGUGCGUGUGUGUCGCACUCCAUCCUGACCUCCUCCCCUCCUCUUCCACAGUCUCGCGAACUGACGCGCGCACGGUUGCGCUGAUCCAAAGA
Molecule: unclassified non-coding RNA, 2115 nt
Filed under: Leishmania donovani
Lineage: Eukaryota; Euglenozoa; Kinetoplastea; Trypanosomatida; Trypanosomatidae
Description: gene:LdHU3.02.0330(CDS-product:small_GTP_binding_ protein_rab6-like_protein)
Source: RNAcentral